Equus quagga is the source of this 1047-nucleotide long non-coding RNA. RefSeq lists it as uncharacterized. Lineage: Eukaryota; Metazoa; Chordata; Mammalia; Perissodactyla; Equidae. The record is from RefSeq and is a predicted model, not a curated record. The transcript is spliced from 2 exons.
CAGCGCCGCGCUUACCUCGCAGUCCUCGUACUUGAUAUUAUCCGUCAGUUUCCAAAGCAUUUUCAUGGAUCGGCGUGAACGGAUUUGCCCCCUCUCCGCCUCGCACCCAAGUGGAGCUACUCUCUGGCUCUUUACCAACCGCCUAAUCGCCUCAUUAGCAUAUCAACAAUAGUCCAAUUGCUCGCCAGCACCACAAUCUGCCGCCGGCCGCUCCGACCCAGGUAUAAAGGCCUCUCCGAGCCGCGAACUUGCUCCUAGAGCGCACGCCCGCCUGUGAGCCGACGAAAUCUCCCCUGAGCCCCACCGCGCCCCUGCCCCAGCACCCCCCGCCCCAUUCCACCUCAUUCAGCUUCCUCUCCAUCUUCUCCUCGCGGGAGAUGUCCUCCGCAAAAGCUGCGCAGGGUCCGAGCGGCCACUCCUGGGGCCCGGCUGCCAGCACCUCUCCCCCACCCCUGCCGCCACUAACGGCGCUGUCCUUUCGGCCCUGUCCAAUUUUAUUAGAAAUUAUUAGCCUUUUCGCAAUUAAACAUAACCACCAAACCAAGACCGGCGAAGUCACUCCAGGAUUUUUGCCCAACAAGAGAUCGCCUCUGCUCGCGGCAGCCGCCACCUCCGGCCGCAGCGCCUCGAGAGUUUUAUUGGCUUUGCGCUUUCCCCCCAGGUGGGAGAUUUUGCCAAAUGGCUCCGGUUGCUCGGCUGGGGUUUGCGAUCCUUUAAUUGCCGCGUGUAAAAUAAAAAUUGUACCCUGAAGAGGUUACUUGACAGCUCCAGGGGUUAAAUGAUUUUCCUCUCGUUUGUAUGAAACUAGGGCCGACUGAUAAUUCAACGUGGCGUCUGGGCUAAGGGUUUCCUAGGUGCGGUGUGGACAAGAAUACAGAACUCCUAUGGAGACUCACUGUCGCUUCUGGAGUGGAGCCGAAAUACCGACAUGUGUGCGCCGUGUCAUGCAUGCAUCAAAAUAAAUCGCUGGGAACCAACUCUUCGCUGUGCUAAUCUGCUCCAGUUUUCCCAAGAUCCCCCUUUUUAAUUAAAGCAGGAGAGUUCCUU